UCCCUCCAUGGUGUCUGAAAGCACAUUAGCGAGUCAUAGUCCAUUGAGACAGGCCUAAGCAGUACAUGAGCCCUCAGGUGGGUCCAUGUGCUCGUGGUUCGGUAGUGCAUAGGAAAGUACUAUACAUCCAACCUUGUCGGAACUGGAAAGCUACCUAAGGCAAUGCCAUUAGAACCUAUCAUGUCACAUGUGUAAAGGUUACGCACCAAGGUACGGAUGACGACGCCAUGACGAAAGCCAUGGAACUAGAGGUUAAUAUCGAAAUCGAGAAAAACACAGACAAAUAAAGGUCAAACAAAUGCAAAAAGAAGUAUCACUCGUUGGUUAUGGACCAACAUAUGCACAAAGGGGUCGCAUGCACAAAUAUCAUGUACGACAACAUACGCGCAGAGGCGGUCGGAUGUGCAAAGGUGGUAUGAAUCUCAAAU
Cucurbita moschata (crookneck pumpkin) is the source of this 428-nucleotide long non-coding RNA. RefSeq lists it as uncharacterized. The transcript is spliced from 3 exons. Lineage: Eukaryota; Viridiplantae; Streptophyta; Magnoliopsida; Cucurbitales; Cucurbitaceae. The record is from RefSeq and is a predicted model, not a curated record.